UUUAAGACCCAAAUUUUAAAACAAUUUGGGCCGACGAAGAAGAAAAAGCGCAGCUGAUCACUCUACUAAGAUCUGUGGUACGACGUCACCAGAGCACUGACAGCACGCCUGACCAAGGGAAUGCAAACAUCCCUUCGCCAGCAAAAAAAACCCGCUUUCUUGACGGAUUCAAAAAGAAAAGGACAUCGAUUGAAUCCGAUGAAGUUGACAGCUACCUAAGUGAGGGGACAGGAGAAUUAAGCUCGUUAGAUCGAUUCCCAACCAUCAAGAAAAUUUUCCUGGAAUAUAACAGUGCCUUAGCUUCGUCGGCCGCCUGUGAGCGGGUUUUCAGUUGUGCAGGAUUAAUUUUCACGGCGAAACGGACUAAUUUGACAGAUGGGAACUUCGAAGCCUUAGUUUUUCUAAAAUUAAAUGGUGAUUGCUGCCGCU
This is a long non-coding RNA of Daphnia magna, 429 nucleotides long. RefSeq lists it as uncharacterized. Lineage: Eukaryota; Metazoa; Arthropoda; Branchiopoda; Diplostraca; Daphniidae. The record is from RefSeq and is a predicted model, not a curated record. The transcript has 3 exons.